CACGUCUUAGUUUUGAUCUUAGCUAAACAGCAACUAACCACUUCCUUUCCUUUGCACUUCCUCCACAAAUACAUAUAAGAGGUGAUGGUGAUGUUCCGCUCUGUCUUUCUGUCGGAUGGUCAUCAUGUUCAGUGUAGACAAAGCAGCUCUACUUUCCAUUCAGCUGUUUGUGGUGUGCCACGCCCAUGCAGGUAGAGUGGGGAUUUGUAUUUAUGAUGAAUGCUCUAGGUUUUAUUACAGAUUUCAUUUAUACUGUUUUUUUUUCUUCAGCAUUAGGGGAUCUACAAGUUGACCACAGGAAUAUACUGGUGUCCAGGGGAGACUCCAUCAGUCUCACUUGCAACAUAUCCAUGAAAAAUGCAACACAAAUCAAUUGGACCAAAGACAAAAAAAACAUUUUUACUUAUUCAAAAAAACAUAAUCAGACUUUUUCAAAUUUCACCUCUCACAGACUCAGAAUAGAGACGGACUCACCUACACAGCUGAACAUUUCUAAUGCUCAGCAUGACGACUCAGGACUUUACACAUGUAAUGUAAAUGCUAGAAAUGGUCCACAGGACAUUGUCUGGAAUUUAACUGUGUCUCAGAGCCUUGACGAAAUGAUUCUAUCAUGGCCUUUUCUAUACAUACUCGCACCUGUAACUGGAUUUCUUCUAUGCAGCUUGAUGGUAGCUGUCUGCAUCUGCAGCAGGAAACAUGGGACCAUGACCCCAAACCAGAAUCCAGUCCAAGGCCAGUUUGACCUUCAGUCAGGAGGAGAGGUCAUUGUCAUCUUAGACACUCUCAGAUUUCUCUGCUUUAUUUUCUUAUUGAUUGUGUUGAACUUUAUAUUUAUCUUCUACUCCUCCAGGGGGUCGUCUCUCAGGAGCAGGCUGACAUGGAUCAUAGGCCAAAUAACAGGAGGAGUCAGUACUUGGAGAAACUGA
Molecule: long non-coding RNA, 926 nt
Filed under: Mastacembelus armatus (zig-zag eel)
Lineage: Eukaryota; Metazoa; Chordata; Actinopteri; Synbranchiformes; Mastacembelidae
Description: lncRNA (ENSMAMG00000024591.1)
Source: RNAcentral